Long non-coding RNA from Mus musculus (house mouse), 2273 nucleotides. RefSeq annotates it as RIKEN cDNA 1700036A12 gene. The transcript is spliced from 2 exons. The record is from RefSeq and is a predicted model, not a curated record. Lineage: Eukaryota; Metazoa; Chordata; Mammalia; Rodentia; Muridae.
AGUUGGCCUGGUUUUGCUUGGAAAAGGUACAUUUGUGUGUAUUUUGUUAGAUAGAUAGAUAGAUAGAUAGAUAGAUAGAUAGAUAGAUAGAUAGAUGAUAGAGUAUUCUGAUAAUCUAACAUGGUAUUGGUCAUGACUGUUUAAAGUGAGGCUGUGGGUAUUUGAACAUUUCUCCUUUUACUUGUAUAUAUUUUCUUGAGUGAGUAAUAGCACUUUUAAAAAUAAAAAGCAACUUUUUAUGUCUAACUUUUUAAUCAUCUUCAUUCUAAACGGUCAAUCCAUACUGUCACGGAAAAGAAGCAAUUUUACAAAACACAUACUUUGAAAAAGAAGGGGACUGGCUGUGCCCAUUAGAACUCAGCCAAGCUGAAGAACUCUGCAAUGACAGUCCUCUGCAGGGCACCAGUGGCCUGGAGGAGAAAGCAGCCCUGUGGGCACAGCCGGAGAAGGAAGCUUCAUCUCGGACAUCAUUUCAAAGGAAUUCUUCUUUAAGCACAGCACCCACAGAAGAAUCCUACAAAAACUCCAUUUUCACUUAGUUCCGGCAGACAGAUGACUGAGACCAGCCUGGGAAGAAACUCGCUGGGCGCCCAGCAAAUGCGGUGGCUGCUGAUGAGCUUGACCAGCUGGGAAGUGAGCUCUGCCCCAUCACCUACCCUGGGGAGCUAGGCAGCAGCUGAUUACAUCCUCUGUCCCUUUCUUGAAUUCCCACUGUGGACAGAUCUCUGGGCUCAGUUCCCAGUGUGCUUUGUCUCUACUAGGUAAAAGCACCAAAUAUUCGUGUGUACUCGGAGGCCGCAGAGAUGCAGUGUGACCCACGGCUGUGGAUUAACACCGUAUGUUGGACACCCCGGAGCAGGAAACCCUCCUACUCUUCCAUCCUCAGCCGUUUGUGUGGGCUUCCACGUUCUGUUGGCCGCCCCCUGGAAAAUGCCUCGCUUGUGCUGUUAUUUUUUCUUUUAUGUUGAAGUCUCCUGGGGUCCGCUUGACUCUUGUAGUUGGUUAGAGUCCAAGUAUAGACUCCUCUGCUUGUGACUAGAGGCAGGGCAGUAGGGUAAGGCUGGUGGGAAUCAGGGAGAGGGGGCUUUUCCACAUUUUAGAAGAUAAUAUAAUAACAUGGUUGAGGUUGAGAUAGAAAUACUUCAGAGGAAGCGUGACUAUGAGACAGAGGGAAGAAGACAGAUCCCACCAUCCCACCAACUGAUGGCUGGUGGGAACUCUGCUCCCACCACCCGCACUGCUCACCCUAGCCCCAACACCAGACACCCUUCCAGACUGAGUAAGGCUAAGCCGCGGACUGGAUCAAGGAUUGGAACCUGCCUACCAGAAGAAAGUCAGAAAAGUGUCUAUAAGGGCAAGAUUGGGUUUCCUUUAACAUGAGAGGGAUAUGGUGUGGGGCAGGGAAUGCCACCCUGUCUCUUCCUAGGAGGUGCUCCUGUGAGCCUUCCCCCGGGCCCUGUCAAUCAUGCAACCUUAUUUAUCAUACAUCAGUCAGGUGCUGAGUCCAAUGUGAUAAGUGGAGAAACAGAGGCACAGACCAAUUAGUUUGUCCAGCAUCUCCUACUAGGAAGUAGAAGACUGCACAGCCCAUGUGACUCAUGCUUCGGGGCUUUUGCUCUUCAACUGGAUGCCAGAUGUUUGAGAAGAUCAACGAUUACCCAGGUGUUUCCUGGGUUUUGUUCCUGUUGCCUGCAAAUGUUGUCUAUGAUCUGACUCUCCAGCAGCUGGGGUCUUCCAGCCUUGGGAGCAAACAGAGGACGCCCCAGUGUCUUGAGUGCGGUCACUUGCAUACGUGGCUCCCACUCUCAGCUGAGUCCUGUGGAGGGUUCACAGGCAGAGCAGUCAUGGAGAUGAGUAGCCUCGCCUCCCAGGCCCAAGACCAACAGCAAAGCCACAGCUGGCUGAGGUGUUUGGAAGUAACGUUUCCCCUCAACUGCACAGCCCGGAUUUAAGUUCUUGAGACUUCCUGAGAGGCCACCCUCUUGGAGCUUUAAUCCUUCCCCCAGUGUCCUUCCUGCCACCUGUAGUCUAAACUUAGUGACAAGCAUGCCUUCCCCAACCACUUUGGCAGGCCAUCCUGCUGCUUUUGAGCAAGCAUGUGCUCCUUCAUCAGGGCCACCUUGAGAGAGAAAGCUCGAGUGGGAGCCAGUGACAAUUAUCUUCCUGUGGUUUUUUUUUAAUUUUUCAUUGAUUCUAUAAAUAAUACACAAUUGGGAAACUGUACAUGUCUGUCUAUAUCUAUAUGACAAUAAAUAACAUCCUUACCCCUCGCA